This 952-nucleotide ribosomal RNA is filed under the name Gloniopsis sp. MFLUCC 14-0581. RNAcentral describes it as "SSU rRNA". It matches the Rfam family "Eukaryotic small subunit ribosomal RNA", at positions 59 to 1032 of the family's 1831-position model. The record is from RNAcentral. Lineage: Eukaryota; Fungi; Ascomycota; Dothideomycetes; Hysteriales; Hysteriaceae.
UCUAGUAUAAGCAUUAUACCGUGAAACUGCGAAUGGCUCAUUAAAUCAGUUAUCGUUUAUUUGAUAGUACCUUACUACAUGGAUAACCGUGGUAAUUCUAGAGCUAAUACAUGCUAAAAACCCCGACUUCGGAAGGGGUGUAUUUAUUAGAUAAAAAACCAAUGCCCUUCGGGGCUCCUUGGUGAAUCAUAAUAACUUAMCGGAUCGCAUGGCCUUGCGCCGGCGACGGUUCAUUCAAAUUUCUGCCCUAUCAACUUUCGAUUGUAGGGUAUUGGCCUACAAUGGUAUCAACGGGUAACGGGGAAUUAGGGUUCGAUUCCGGAGAGGGAGCCUGAGAAACGGCUACCACAUCCAAGGAAGGCAGCAGGCGCGCAAAUUACCCAAUCCCGACACGGGGAGGUAGUGACAAUAAAUACUGAUACAGGGCUCUUUUGGGUCUUGUAAUUGGAAUGAGUACAAUUUAAAUCCCUUAACGAGGAACAAUUGGAGGGCAAGUCUGGUGCCAGCAGCCGCGGUAAUACCAGCUCCAAUAGCGUAUAUUAAAGUUGUUGCAGUUAAAACGCUCGUAGUUGAACCUUGGGCCUGGCUGGCCGGUCCGCCUCACCGCGUGCACUGGUCCGGCCGGGCCUUUCCUCCUGGAGAACCGCAUGCCCUUCACUGGGUGUGCCGGGGAACCAGGACUUUUACUUUGAAAAAAUUAGAGUGUUCAAAGCAGGCCUUUGCUCGAAUACAUUAGCAUGGAAUAAUAGAAUAGGACGUGCGGUCCUAUUUUGUUGGUUUCUAGGACCGCCGUAAUGAUUAAUAGGGAUAGUCGGGGGCAUCAGUAUUCAAUUGUCAGAGGUGAAAUUCUUGGAUUUAUUGAAGACUAACUACUGCGAAAGCAUUUGCCAAGGAUGUUUUCAUUAAUCAGUGAACGAAAGUUAGGGGAUCGAAGACGAUCAGAUACCGUCGU